This 382-nucleotide long non-coding RNA is filed under the name Phoenix dactylifera (date palm). RNAcentral's name for it is "long non-coding RNA (PDAC_LNC017243)". The record is from RNAcentral. Lineage: Eukaryota; Viridiplantae; Streptophyta; Magnoliopsida; Arecales; Arecaceae.
UGAAUGGGGUAGAGUCUCAAAAGAUUUUUUGUGUGAAACAAAUCUCAAAGCACAGCUCUCAAAGCAUUCUUAGUAUAUGACUCAUAGUUAAGGAUCACCCACCAUACAUAUCUCAAAGCACUCCGAACUCCUUCAUUCAUCUGCUUACACAGAUCUUAAAGCAUCCUUAGUCAUGACCCAUAGUUAAGGAUUACCCAUUGUGCGAAUCUCAAAGCACUUCGAACCCCUUUAUUCAUUCGUUCGCACAGAUCUCAAAGUAUCCUUAAUAUAUGGCCCAUAGUUAAGAAUCACCCUAGCAUGGAUCUCAAAGCACCUUCAUUCGUGCACCUGCACAGAUCUUAAAGCUUCCUUAGUUCAUGGCCCAUAGCUAAAAAUCAUCCAC